CUACGGGGGGCAGCAGUGAGGAAUAUUGCACAAUGGGGGGAACCCCGAUGCAGCAACGCCGCGUGGAGGAUGACGCAUUUCGGUGUGUAAACUCCUUUUAUAUGUCAAGAAAAUGACGGUAGCAUAUGAAUAAGCACCGGCUAGACUCCGUGCCGGCAGCCGCGGUAAUACGGAGGGUGCAAGCGUUACUCGGAAUCACUGGGCGUAAAGGACGCGUAGGCGGGUUGGAAAGUCAGGUGUGAAAUCCUACAGCUUAACUGUAGAACUGCACUUGAAACUUCUAAUCUAGAGUAUGGGAGGGGGAGAUGGAAUUAGUGGUGUAGGGGUAAAAUCUGUAGAUAUCACUAGGAAUACCUAAAGCGAAGGCGAUCUCCUGGAACAUUACUGACGCUAAGGCGUGAAAGCGUGGGGAGCAAACAGGAUUAGAUACCCGAGUAGUC
This 440-nucleotide ribosomal RNA is filed under the name uncultured bacterium. RNAcentral describes it as "partial 16S ribosomal RNA". It matches the Rfam family "Bacterial small subunit ribosomal RNA", at positions 339 to 795 of the family's 1533-position model. The record is from RNAcentral.